RNAcentral lists this unclassified non-coding RNA (331 nucleotides) under soil metagenome. RNAcentral's name for it is "partial contains 5.8S ribosomal RNA, internal transcribed spacer 2, and large subunit ribosomal RNA". The stretch from base 1 to 120 matches the Rfam family "5.8S ribosomal RNA", at positions 35 to 154 of the family's 154-position model. The record is from RNAcentral.
GAUGAAGAACGUAGCGAAAUGCGAUAAGUAGUGUGAAUUGCAGAAUUCAGUGAAUCAUCGAAUCUUUGAACGCACAUUGCGCCCUUUGGUAUUCCUUAGGGCAUGCCUGUUCGAGCGUCAUUUAAACCUUCAAGCUAAGCUUGGUGUUGGGUGACUGUCCGCUUCACGGCGGACUCGCCUCAAAAUUAUUGGCGGCCGGUACAUUGGCUUCGAGCGCAGCAGAAACGCGAACUCGGGCCCGUCGUAUUGGCUCCCAGAAGCUAUCUUCACAAUUUUGACCUCGGAUCAGGUAGGGAUACCCGCUGAACUUAAGCAUAUCAAUAAGCGGGGA